CGACCGGGUGCAGUGAUGGAUACUGAGGUUCAGCAUUUUUUCGAGUAAAUGUUCUAAAUUAUCACUGAAAAAGACCUGUCUCCGAAACCAGAAGACAGUGUUUUAGUAUAAUCUUGUCUGAAACAGGAAAAAAUACGGUAAGGCAUUUCGUGAUAUCACUGAAAUAGACAUAACUAGAAAGAAAUCAGUGGACCGUGGCCAUCUCCGGUUACCCCAAUUGUCGUUAUUGAGCAGGUAUAAACGUGACAGCGAACUAGGAAGAGAUUUUGUUUAAUGUCUUCCACAAUCGUUCUAAAAGCGCGCGAAGUUGCAUAUGCCGUGCACUUGCUCAUUUGGUAACUGACUUCAUCUUGAGAAGAACCAGAGAUCGAAGGUCACAGGUAGACAGUGACUGUCAUUAACCUCCCAGAAGAGGUCAACAUGGAGCCCGCGAGUGUGCAGAGAACGCUGGUCUCGGAAGUUCUCGAACAAAUGAAACAUUUUUCUGAAGAGAUAUCAGGGAGAACUGAGAGUCCCGCAGAAGAGGCUCACAGAGGACAAUCGUUCAGGCUCCAAACUGGUCUGGAAGUCCCUGUUCCUACAGGGGCUGUGGACGGCGAACUGAGGAAUAAAACUCGGAUGCAAUGCCUCAUCUUCCUUGCUGCUGUCAUCAUCAUGCCCGCAGUUGUUAUAUUUCCAGAAAUGAUGUGGCUAGUCAUUCUUCAAGGCAUUGGGCUGGAAGAUGUCAGUAUCUUCGAUUACCUUGCUCACGAAUACUGGAAUACAUACAAAAUCGUCUACGGAGUCUUUGGUAUAGUGAGCGGUAUUCUCAUCACUGUGUUCAACUACCGACCUGUGGCGGCGGUUGGGGCAGUAUUGACAUGUCUUGGAUGUCUGAUCACAUCUUUCUUGGAUCUGGAAAAUGAGCAAGCUGUUACCUUCGUCUUCUGCGUUCUACCAGGUGUGGGCAACAGCUUUCUGUACACCGCGGCAGUGGUAGCGAUACUGGAAUGUUUCGGGAACAAGAGGAUCCUCGUUGUCAUCUUCACUUUUUUCUCGGAGAUCCUUGUGGAGCUGAUCCUCGCGCUUAUUAUACUACCAAGCGAUAACUUGAGUUGGCGAGCCACCUUGGGGAUAAUGUGUGGGAUCUACGGACUGUGUCUCCUGGCUUCCUCUGCUCUGGUCCCUCUCAACUUGUACAUGAACGACAACCCUCGUCAGAGUCUGCGCAGCCUCAUCAUGAACAUCGAGGCCCUGCGUGUCUUCAAGUCUCCGCUACUCUACGCCAUGGGUGGCGUCUUCUUCUUCACGGGAAUAGGGCUCGAUACUCCAGUAAAUCAUGUAAGACACUGGUACACCUUUGCGGUCGUGAUUCUACUGUCUGCUGUCUUGUUUGCUAUGAUAACCAGCUGCUACUUCUUCAGAAAGCUGACAAGCGAUACAUCCUUGCUCGUGAUCACAGUCCUGGGUUUUCUAAUGGGAAUUUUGUCGCUGUCAGUCAAAUGGUUUGAUGCUCUGCCAUACGCAUGCGUCUACAGCGUUCUCUACGGCCUAGGAUAUGGUUUGCGAGAACCAGUCACAAGAAACCUGAUUCCACUGGUGAUGGGAUGCAAAACCUGGGACUUACAGUCGGGUGCCUCACUUUUGCGUCGGGUGUCGGUUCCUUUAUAGGGGAAAAGAGCACAGAUGCUAUGAGCCGAAGGGAUGCACCCUUCUACCUGUUUGGCGCCGCUCUGAUCACAUCGUCGCUGAUGGUGCUCGUCGUGAUCAGACUGGUUAAAACUGCAGCUAGAACCCCGUAUGAGACCAACAACGAAGAGCAAGGCGUUGCAGAUGUGACACAGCCUCCAACGACCGUCACGGUCGACCUACCCAGAGAAAAUCUUCAGAGUGUUUGAAAAUAACACAUUACAGCGCAAUGGUGUAUGAGUGGAGGGAUAGGUUUAGUAGCAAGGCUAAGAUUUGUAUGAAUAGUUUAGUUUUGUUUUACUGGCCAAUGGUUUUGAAGAUUGUUUAAGAUGUCAUUUUUACAUAUAUUUGUGUUUAUAACUGGAUUAUAUUUACAGUGCUUUUAUAAUGGUGUAUACUGACUUUGGCAGAUACUCACACCCUUCAUCUGAGCUCUCGCAGCAAUAACGAAUCUCCGUGUGUAUGUGGGAAAGGUGUGUGUGUGUGUGUGUACGUGCACGUGUUUGUGUGCAACAGAGAGGGGAAUCUUCUUUAUUUUUCCCAAUAAACUGCGUUCACAUUUCUACAAUUUAUUAAAAAUCGUAAUUGUGUUUAUCUUUUAAAGAUCUGACUACAAUAUGCAUAUUUUUGUGUAAAUAAAUGUUUAUGAGACAGUU
This 2324-nucleotide unclassified non-coding RNA is filed under the name Pomacea canaliculata. Its description in RNAcentral is "uncharacterized LOC112564761, transcript variant X1". Lineage: Eukaryota; Metazoa; Mollusca; Gastropoda; Architaenioglossa; Ampullariidae. The record is from RNAcentral.